UGGGGAAUAUUGGACAAUGGGCGCAAGCCUGAUCCAGCCAUGCCGCGUGAGUGAAGAAGGCCUUAGGGUUGUAAAGCUCUUUCAGUCGUGACGAUGAUGACGGUAGCGACAGAAGAAGCCCCGGCUAACUCCGUGCCAGCAGCCGCGGUAAUACGGAGGGGGCAAGCGUUGUUCGGAUUUACUGGGCGUAAAGGGCGCGUAGGCGGGGUAUCCAGUUAGGGGUGAAAGCCCGGGGCUCAACCUCGGAACUGCCUUUAAAACUGAUACUCUAGAGUGCGGAGGAGGGUCGGGGUAUGGUCAGUGUAGAGGAGAACCUCGUAGCUGUUGGGAAGAAGAGCGGUGGCGAAGGCGGCGAGCCGGUGCGGUAUUGACGCUGCGGGGCUAAAGCGUGGGUCGCAACCAGGAUUAGACGCCCGCGAAGGCC
RNAcentral lists this ribosomal RNA (424 nucleotides) under uncultured prokaryote. Its description in RNAcentral is "partial 16S ribosomal RNA". It matches the Rfam family "Bacterial small subunit ribosomal RNA", at positions 355 to 796 of the family's 1533-position model. The record is from RNAcentral.